AUGUGGCUGGUUGUUCACCGCAAGUUUCUUACGUCGGAUAACCUUCUACGUAGGGGUUACCCAGCUAGUAUUUCUUGCCCACUCUACUUCUCUGAACCAGAAGACUGCACACACCUAUUUAUACACCACCGGUUCACGCAACAAGUCUGGAGGUUUCUUAAGUUUUGGACCGGGGCGGAUUUUGUCGUGCCUGACGAUCAACAUGGCUGCAUAGAGGGAUGGUGGCUUCAGGCAAGGGCGGGCAUUCCCAAGCCUAUGCGCGGCAACUUUCAUACAAUUGCGAUCUUGAUGCACUGGAGGUUAUGGAAGGAGAAGAACUCCAGGGUGUUUGACCACAUGGCCAACAACGCCGAUAGAGUCUUCGAUCUGGUGCGUGAGGACAUCGCCGUGUGGAGAUCUGCUGGUUGCAUCACUGAUUUAGGCUCUUGA
This 429-nucleotide ribosomal RNA is filed under the name Triticum aestivum (bread wheat). Its description in RNAcentral is "partial small subunit ribosomal RNA". Lineage: Eukaryota; Viridiplantae; Streptophyta; Magnoliopsida; Poales; Poaceae. The record is from RNAcentral.